GUUCGGGUUUACCGAUUGCUGGCAGAGUUUUCUUGACGUUCGUGCGCUCCGAAAUUAUAGCUUUUGCCCACAACUCGCCGACGACAACUCGUGUGCAUUCCCCGUCGUCAGACCUUCCCGUUUUCUUAGGUGGAUUUUCCUCAAGAAUUGCAAAACUCAAUCUCGCAAUGCACGCCACAACUUUUCCUCUCCUCCUCUUGGGACUCGUCCUCGCUUUAACCUCCAUAGCAACCAAACAGGCACAAGGAAUACUCAUCUACCCGGAUGAUGGAAGUUCAGAAAAUGAGACGAAUCCACUAAGACCUCUCUUGAUAACCAACACCGAAGAAGACCGAGGCAAAGAGACACUGAAGGAGGUUGUACGGAGUCAAGUUGCUACGCUUCUUUCACAUACGGAUGAGAAAGUUCGUUCAGAUAUGUUAUUCACCCAUUUGUUGGCAUUGGAGACAAGACUUCAACAAGUUAUUGAAGAAAAGGGGAGGCUUUCUGCUAUAAAUGAACGCUACCAAAAAGAGCUCUCGCUGAUCAUCGCGAUGGAUAUUAUUGUGUGGAUAGAGAACAAUUACAGUUCUGGGUACAAUAACACCGGGAAUGUGUUACGGGGUCAAAAUGUGAGGAAAGCAAAAUGGACCUUCAUGUUCGAACAUCGCCGUGAUGAGAGGCCAAUUAAAUACAUCUUAGACAAAAUCAAUGCGGAGGAUAAAAGUUACAAUAAGGAAAAAAUAGUAAAUGAAAUCGUUGAAAUUGAGGAAAUAUUAAAUAAACAAGAAAAGAUCUUCGUGACAGAAGUUGCAAAGGCGGGAUCUUUUUUCAACCAGCGAAAAUAUAAAUUUAUACUCCAAAGAACUUCAUCAGACGUGCCUCUGCUCUUUGAUACACGUGUGCCUCCAAACAUAAUAAGGACAGCUACUAUAUUAGAGGAGGCGUACGUCGAAGAGUUACUUCGUCGUUACUUACCACCAGAACAAUAGGAAAUCAAUAAGUUGAUGGCAUCAACUUAUCUUAACUGGUAAGUUGUCAUAAACCGAUAAACCCACUUUUUCAUUUCCUUUCAAAAUUCAGACACUCUCAAAUUAUUCGUAUGAUAUACGGAAUUCUCCAUGCCAACGAGUUCGAUUCUUGUGUAUUUUUCGCUUAAAAGGGGUAAGGUGCAAAACGGGCCAUUUCACGCUCGUGUCGCAUACCAUUGAAACUUGCCCUAUUCAUUCAUCUAACUAUGCCCUAUGUUUUCCCAAAGUUUCAAGUCCCCAAAAAAUUUUGGGGGGAAGUGGCGGGGGGUCAAAGUUUAAAAUCCGCGAAUUUUUUACUCGAAAACUAUUAAAUAUUUCGAAACACGGUUUAAACGAGCGUUUUCAGCGUGAAAAGAGCUUUCAGAAAAUGUAUAAUAAUGUAGGGUUUCGUUGACUUACAAAAACUCGAGUUAUCGCCUCCGAAGCGCCGGAACGCUAAAAAAUAACCCGUUUUUUGUCACGUUUGGGCCGAUCCCCAAAAUACGUCAUUUUUAAUUUAUUUGAAAAACUGAUAUGUUGUUUCUGAC
This 1537-nucleotide long non-coding RNA is filed under the name Bemisia tabaci. Its description in RNAcentral is "lncRNA ENSASIAIIG002809". Lineage: Eukaryota; Metazoa; Arthropoda; Insecta; Hemiptera; Aleyrodidae. The record is from RNAcentral.